GAAAACUUCCCAUAAUUAAAAGUGCUGCUGAAUAUUUCGGGAAGCUUAUGUUGGACAUGCUCCAUCUCAAAAAACUUGUGAACACUGGUUUAAAUGUUUAAAAGUGAUGAUUUCUAUAUGAAAGACAAAAAACAUCCAGGUCAAC
Long non-coding RNA from Myotis brandtii (Brandt's bat), 145 nucleotides. RefSeq lists it as uncharacterized. The transcript is spliced from 3 exons. The record is from RefSeq and is a predicted model, not a curated record. Lineage: Eukaryota; Metazoa; Chordata; Mammalia; Chiroptera; Vespertilionidae.